This 292-nucleotide unclassified non-coding RNA is filed under the name plant metagenome. RNAcentral describes it as "partial contains small subunit ribosomal RNA and internal transcribed spacer 1". The stretch from base 1 to 46 matches the Rfam family "Eukaryotic small subunit ribosomal RNA", at positions 1786 to 1831 of the family's 1831-position model. The record is from RNAcentral.
AAGUCGUAACAAGGUUUCCGUAGGUGAACCUGCGGAAGGAUCAUUAUUGAAUAAAUCUGACGUGGUUGCAGCUGACUCUCCGGAGUACGUGCUCGCCUAGUCACCUUUAUCUUUCCACCUGUGCACACACUGUAGUCCUGGAUACCUCUCGUCGAAAGGCGGAUGCAGGGUUUGCUGUGACUUCGCAAGAAGGCCGGCUCACUCUGAGUCUCCAGGUCUAUGAUCUCACACACCCCCAAACUGAAUGUUACAGAAUGCUAUCAUCGGGCUUCGUGCCUAUAAAUUUAUACAA